Trichechus manatus latirostris (Florida manatee) is the source of this 545-nucleotide long non-coding RNA. RefSeq lists it as uncharacterized. The record is from RefSeq and is a predicted model, not a curated record. The transcript has 4 exons. Lineage: Eukaryota; Metazoa; Chordata; Mammalia; Sirenia; Trichechidae.
AGUUGAUUGCCUUUGAAUCAACUCUGACUCAUGGCGACCCCAGGUACAACGGAAGGAACAUUGCCCAGUCCUGUGCUAUCUUCUUCAUGAUCCUUGGUUGGCUUGAGUCUAUUGUUCCAGCUACUACACAGAGUCACACACACACGAGGGAAGACACACAUGUGAGGAUUGCCAAGGAACAAGGAACUCCAAGGAACCAAGAACACUGGGGCUACCAACAAGGAAGGAAUCCACACAGUUGUGAUCCUGAUUUGGAAUUUGUAACCUCCAGAACUGGGAAGACUGAAAGUUACAAAAUAAAAUGCCACAAUCUCCCAUGAUCAGUGACAACACCUUUCAAAGGGUUUUUGCCAAGUUUUGCAGACUGAAAUUGAUCAAAUAUGCAAUCAAGAUGCAUUGAUAAUUUUGGUGAUUGGAGUGCAACAGUUGGAAACAAAAGAUUGGUAGUUGGAAAAUCUGGCCUUGGUGAUAGAAAUGAUGUCAGAAAUGGCAUGAUAGAAUUUUGCAAGAUGAAUGACUUCUUCCCUGCAAAUACCUUUUUUAAA